Molecule: ribosomal RNA, 232 nt
Filed under: uncultured bacterium
Lineage: Bacteria
Description: partial 16S ribosomal RNA
Rfam family: Bacterial small subunit ribosomal RNA
Source: RNAcentral
UACGAAGGGGGCUAGCGUUGCUCGGAAUCACUGGGCGUAAAGCGCACGUAGGCGGAUCUUUUAAGUCAGGGGUGAAAUCCCAAGGCUCAACCUUGGAACUGCCUUUGAUACUGGGGAUCUCGAGUCCGGAAGAGGUUGGUGGAACUGCGAGUGUAGAGGUGAAAUUCGUAGAUAUUCGCAAGAACACCAGUGGCGAAGGCGGCCAACUGGUCCGGUACUGGACGCUGAGGUG